GAUGAACGCUGGCGGCGUGCCUAAUACAUGCAAGUCGAGCGAACAGACGAGGAGCUUGCUCCUCUGACGUUAGCGGCGGACGGGUGAGUAACACGUGGAUAACCUACCUAUAAGACUGGGAUAACUUCGGGAAACCGGAGCUAAUACCGGAUAAUAUAUUGAACCGCAUGGUUCAAUAGUGAAAGACGGUUUUGCUGUCACUUAUAGAUGGAUCCGCGCCGCAUUAGCUAGUUGGUAAGGUAACGGCUUACCAAGGCAACGAUGCGUAGCCGGCCUGAGAGGGUGAUCGGCCACACGGGAACUGAGACACGGUCCAGACUCCUAAGGGAGGCAGCAGUAGGGAAUCUUCCGCAAUGGGCGAAAACUUGACGGAGCAACGCCGCGUGAGGGAUGAAGGUCUUCUGAUCGUAAAACUCUGUUAUUAGGGAAGAACAAAUGUGUAAGUAACUAUGCACGUCUUGACGGUACCUAAUCAGAAAGCCACGGCUAACUACGUG
This 497-nucleotide ribosomal RNA is filed under the name uncultured bacterium. RNAcentral describes it as "partial 16S ribosomal RNA". It matches the Rfam family "Bacterial small subunit ribosomal RNA", at positions 28 to 507 of the family's 1533-position model. The record is from RNAcentral.